AUGGGGAAGGAGGGUGGCUGGGUGUGCGUGCAUGUGUGUGUGUGUUUGUGUCUCUGAGUAAUGUGUGCGUGAGUUCUGUGAUUUAGCCAUUCAUGCACUCAUUCUGCAAAUAUUUACUGGUUGCCUAUCGUGUGCCAUGGGGGAUUCCACGAUGAAUAAAAGGUCCCCACCCUCAGAGGAGCUCAUUAAGCCAGAAUAUGUCUCUGUGGCAUGUGUCUGCACCUCAAGGCAUGUGUCAGCUGGAGGAUGUGGCUGCCUCUGUGUGUGCAUGUGUGUGUGUGAACAUGUGUGUCUGAGCAUGUGUGUGGAGGGGAGAGAAUUACUCAUCCGCUCAAACGACUCUCCAAGAAAGGCCUCUCCUAGAACAGUUAUACUUUCAUAAAUACAAAUAAUCAGAUAAUGAGUUCAUUUCCGAUCUCCAGCUGGAUGCCAACAUUCCAGUGAAAUAAGACCCGCUGGCGGGCGCGCUGGCUGCUCUCAGUGUGGCUUGGAGUAGCUGAGGAAAGCUCAGGGGAGGGGUAAAGCCGAGGAGCCUCUGCAUGGCCCUGGGGCCGAGGAGCCCCUCAACCUCCCUAGAGAGCAGCAGAUGCCCCUACAGAGUGAAUCCAGGUCUGCACACCCUCUCCUCAUUCCUCUGGACCCAACCCGGGGCAGAGCCUGUGCAGUAUUGCCAAUGCAGAUUGGCCCACUGAAGCAGUGGCCUCUCUAAGGGCCCAGCAAAUGCUGCUUCCCCAGGCCAGAGCCCUGGGUGUCUCCUGGGAGAGCAGAGAUCAGAGACAGAUAGAGAUUGUGGUUGGAGCCUUGCGAGGAGGCAGAGACCCAGACCACAGCCCCUGCCCUGGGCUGUGCAUCCUGGGAGUCACGUAGCCACCCCAGCCUGGAGUGCUCAGCCUCAUUCAACAACUGCUGUGAUCCAACCCAGUCCCCACUCAUCUACUUCCCCUGUCUGGCUUAGGCUGUUCCCUAUGCUUGGAAUGCUCCCCACAUCCCCCAUCCCACCGCAAGCCUGCACAUGCAAAGUUUCUGCGUUAUUGAAGAUGCAAUGUCACACCCGUGGUCAAGGCUUCCCUCAUGCUGCCUGCAGAGAAAACUUUCCCACCCUCAGCGAGGACGCGAGGAUGCGAGGACAGCCUCUUAUCUGUCUCCUGUAUUUCCUCCUGGACUCUGAGUUCCAAGAGGUCAGAAUCCGGGCUUCCUGCAGCUGAUUUCCCUGUGCAAGUCCUGGCCAGCCUGGAGAUAGGAGUGUUCCUGGAAGCUGGCCAGAGAGGUCAUAAGCAGGGAGCAGGAUUGGAAAUGGAGAAGCCUGGAUAUGAGCUGGUGCCCACAGGGCAUUGCUGGUGCUGCAGGCAAAGGGGAAGAGGAAAGAGAAGAGGAGAAGCCAC
This is a long non-coding RNA of Ochotona princeps (American pika), 1382 nucleotides long. RefSeq lists it as uncharacterized. The record is from RefSeq and is a predicted model, not a curated record. Lineage: Eukaryota; Metazoa; Chordata; Mammalia; Lagomorpha; Ochotonidae. The transcript has 3 exons.